GUCUGCCUUUUGCUCUGAUAACAUAGUAGCAGUUGGAAGAGAGAGGCUGAUAGGGAACUGGGAGAAACCAAACCUUAGUAGUGCUUGUUUCAUGGUACUCAGAUGUAUAAAUAACGCUGAGAAUCUUGUCCUGAGGAAAUGGGUGUGUGGAGAUUUCCGGUACAUCGAAAGAGGCCUUGUCACAUACAUCUUGCAAAGUAUGUCUCUCCCCUGAUGGCUUGCGAAGGUUUUGGUAGCUUGAUUCCUUAUGAACUAAGAUCCCUCUGUUUUCGGUUAUUUUGUCUUGGUUUAUGGUUAAUAACUGGAAUAUUCCUUAUGAGUUAAGAAAAGGAAAGUGGAGUAUUACACUUCCAAUAGUUGAUUUGUACAAAGAGAAAGUCAGUUCGAGCAUAAAUUAUUGAAUAAAAAAGAAAGAUAUAAAGAAAACCAAGAUAAAGAAACUGCUUGCUCCACUUUCUUUUUUUACUCUUUUGCUUUGCUAUUUCACCUUUAUGUCAAUAACAUUUUCAGCAAAGUUAGAGAAAUUCACAAAUAUGGGUAGUGAUCUUUCAUGGCUCUGAUGAUAUACAUCUGUUACUUUACCUUUUUUUCUGCAUUUGUGUUUUAAUCGGAAGGCUGUGCUAAAGCCACCACCCUAAUACGCAAAACCAAAUAACUAUUAAAGUAAGGGGUUGGCAUCAUAAUUUUGGUUAUAAAGUAAUCCAUCGAAGAAAAAUUAAAAAAAGAAAAGCAAAAAGGAUAAGCCAUUUUCAUAACAUCUUGUUUGAAAGACAUUGAGAUUUUAUUUUUGUCAAUGCGCAACUAGUACAAUGGGUUCCCACCAGAAAACUAGUUCACAUAGCAGGUCCAUGCAGUAAGAAGAUCAAAAACAUUGGGAACAAGAAAAAAAGAAAAACCUUCGGACGGGCUUAUUUUAAAUUGUGUACAAUUUGUUUUUUCCUUCUUUCCCAAAUUAACAUUAAAAGAAUCUCCCAAAAUUUAGUUAAGAGGCAUCAUCCAUCUUAACUAUUUGGAAUUCCUCAACUUUCUGCAAAAACAGCUUCUGCAUCUACUUCAAGAAAUGUUUUUAUAAUUCCCAUCAUCUCUCCACCAGGGAAA
This is a long non-coding RNA of Ziziphus jujuba (common jujube), 1098 nucleotides long. RefSeq lists it as uncharacterized. The transcript has 2 exons. The record is from RefSeq and is a predicted model, not a curated record. Lineage: Eukaryota; Viridiplantae; Streptophyta; Magnoliopsida; Rosales; Rhamnaceae.